This 452-nucleotide ribosomal RNA is filed under the name uncultured bacterium. RNAcentral describes it as "bacterial SSU rRNA". It matches the Rfam family "Bacterial small subunit ribosomal RNA", at positions 29 to 526 of the family's 1533-position model. The record is from RNAcentral.
AACGAACGCUGGCGGCAGGCCUAACACAUGCAAGUCGAGCGAGAACUUCGGUUCUAGCGGCGGACGGGUUAGUAACGCGUGGGAAUAUGCCCUUCACUACGGAAUAGUCCCGGGAAACUGGGUUUAAUACCGUAUACGCCCUUCGGGGGAAAGAUUUAUCGGUGAAGGAUUAGCCCGCGUUGGAUUAGGUAGUUGGUGGGGUAAUGGCCUACCAAGCCGACGAUCCAUAGCUGGUUUGAGAGGAUGAUCAGCAACACUGGGACUGAGACACGGCCCAGACUCCUACGGGAGGCAGCAGUGGGGAAUCUUAGACAAUGGGGGCAACCCUGAUCUAGCCAUGCCGCGUGAGUGAUGAAGGCCUUAGGGUUGUAAAGCUCUUUCAGCUGGGAAGAUAAUGACGGUACCAGCAGAAGAAGAAAAGGAGAAAGAAGGGAAAGAAGAAGAAGGAAAAC